UACGGAGGGUGCAAACGUUGCUCGGAAUCAUUGGGCGUAAAGCGCACGUAGGCGGCGCGAUAAGUCGGAUGUGAAAGCCCUCGGCUCAACCGAGGAAGUGCAUUCGAAACUGUCGGGCUUGAGUACGGGAGGGGGUUGCGGAAUUCCCGGUGUAGAGGUGAAAUUCGUAGAUAUCGGGAGGAACACCAGUGGCGAAGGCGGCAACCUGGACCGAUACUGACGCUGAGGUGCGAAAGCGUGGGGAGCAAACAGG
Molecule: ribosomal RNA, 253 nt
Filed under: uncultured bacterium
Lineage: Bacteria
Description: partial 16S ribosomal RNA
Rfam family: Bacterial small subunit ribosomal RNA
Source: RNAcentral